This 465-nucleotide ribosomal RNA is filed under the name uncultured bacterium. Its description in RNAcentral is "partial 16S ribosomal RNA". It matches the Rfam family "Bacterial small subunit ribosomal RNA", at positions 28 to 507 of the family's 1533-position model. The record is from RNAcentral.
GACGAACGCUGGCGGCGUGCUUAACACAUGCCAGUCGAACGGAAAGGCCCUGCUUGCAGGGUACUCGAGUGGCGAACGGGUGAGUAACACGUGGGUGAUCUGCCCUGCACUUCGGGAUAAGCCUUGAAAACUGGGUCUAAUACCGGAUAGGAGCCAUCUUUAGGGUGAUGGUUGGAAAGUUUUUUCGGGGUAGGAUGAGCUCGCGGCCUAUCAGCUUGUUGGUGGGGUAAUGGGCUACCAAGGCGGCGACGGGUAGCCGGCCUGGGAGGGUGGACGGCCACAAUGGGACUGGGGUACGGCCCAGGCUCCCAAGGGGGGCAGCCGGGGGGAAGAUUGCACCAGGGGGGCGAGGCUGAUGCAGCGACGCCGCGGGGGGGAUGACGGCCUUCGGGUUGUAAACUCCUUUCGCUCGGGACGAAGCUUUUUGUGACGGUACCUAGAUAAGAAGCACCGGCUAACUACGUG